RNAcentral lists this ribosomal RNA (372 nucleotides) under uncultured organism. RNAcentral describes it as "bacterial SSU rRNA". It matches the Rfam family "Bacterial small subunit ribosomal RNA", at positions 526 to 896 of the family's 1533-position model. The record is from RNAcentral.
CAGAGGGUGCGAGCGUUGUCCGGAAUCACUGGGCGUAAAGGGCGCGUAGGUGGCGGCCCAAGUCCAUGGUGAAAGCUCGAUGCUCAACAUCGAGUCGGCCACGGAUACUGGGUUGCUCGAGCACUGUAGAGGCAGAUGGAAUUCCGGGUGUAGCGGUGGAAUGCGUAGAGAUCCGGAAGAACACCGGUGGCGAAGGCGGUCUGCUGGGCAGUAGCUGACACUGAGGCGCGACAGCGUGGGGAGCAAACAGGAUUAGAUACCCUGGUAGUCCACGCCGUAAACGAUGAGUGCUAGGUGUGGGGGGUGUCGACUCCCUCCGUGCCGAAGCUAACGCAUUAAGCACUCCGCCUGGGGAGUACGGCCGCAAGGCUA